GAUGAAGAACGCAGCGAAAUGCGAUACUUGGUGUGAAUUGCAGAACCCCGUGAACCAUCGAGUCUUUGAACGCAAGUUGCGCCCGAAGCCAUUAGGCCGAGGGCACGCCUGCCUGGGCGUCACACGUCGUUGCCCCCCCAUCUACUCCUUCGGGAUUGCGGGGGGCGGAUGAUGGCCUCCCGUGCGCCUCGCCGCGCGGUUGGCAUAAAUGCCAAGUCCUCGGCGACGCACGCCACGACAAUCGGUGGUUGCGAAACCUCGGUUGCCCGUCGUGUGCGGUCGUCGCGCAUCGAGGGCUCGAAAAAAUUGCCGGGUUCCGGCUCGGCUUUCAACGCGACCCCAGGUCAGGCGGGGUUACCCGCUGAAUUUAAGCAUAUCAAUAAGCGGAGGA
Molecule: unclassified non-coding RNA, 391 nt
Filed under: soil metagenome
Description: partial contains 5.8S ribosomal RNA, internal transcribed spacer 2, and large subunit ribosomal RNA
Rfam family: 5.8S ribosomal RNA (bases 1-122)
Source: RNAcentral